GAUGAACGCUAGCGGGAGGCCUAACACAUGCAAGCCGAGCGGUAUUGUUUCUUCGGAAAUGAGAGAGCGGCGUACGGGUGCGGAACACGUGUGCAACCUGCCUUUAUCUGGGGGAUAGCCUUUCGAAAGGAAGAUUAAUACUCCAUAAUAUAUUGAACGGCAUCGUUUAAUAUUGAAAGCUCCGGCGGAUAGAGAUGGGCACGCGCAAGAUUAGCUAGUUGGUGAGGUAACGGCUCACCAAGGCGAUGAUCUUUAGGGGGCCUGAGAGGGUGAUCCCCCACACUGGUACUGAGACACGGACCAGACUCCUACGGGAGGCAGCAGUGAGGAAUAUUGGUCAAUGGGUGCAAGCCUGAACCAGCCAUCCCGCGUGAAGGACGACUGCCCUAUGGGUUGUAAACUUCUUUUGUAUAGGGAUAAACCUACCCUCGUGAGGGUAGCUGAAGGUACUAUACGAAUAAGCACCGGCUAACUCCGUGCCAGCAGCCGCGGUAAUACGGAGGGUGCAAGCGUUAUCCGGAUUUAUUGGGUUUAAAGGGUCCGUAGGCGGACUUAUAAGUCAGUGGUGAAAGCCUGUCGCUUAACGAUAGAACUGCCAUUGAUACUGUAAGUCUUGAGUAUAUUUGAGGUAGCUGGAAUAAGUAGUGUAGCGGUGAAAUGCAUAGAUAUUACUUAGAACACCAAUUGCGAAGGCAGGUUACCAAGAUAUAACUGACGCUGAGGGACGAAAGCGUGGGGAGCGAACAGGAUUAGAUACCCUGGUAGUCCACGCCGUAAACGAUGCUAACUCGUUUUUGGGCUUUAGGGUUCAGAGACCAAGCGAAAGUGAUAAGUUAGCCACCUGGGGAGUACGCUCGCAAGAGUGAAACCCAAAGGAAUUGACGGGGGCCCGCACAAGCGGUGGAUUAUGUGGUUUAAUUCGAUGAUACGCGAGGAACCUUACCAAGACUUAAAUGGGAAUUGACAGCUUUAGAAAUAGAGCUUUCUUCGGACAAUUUUCAAGGUGCUGCAUGGUUGUCGUCAGCUCGUGCCGUGAGGUGUUAGGUUAAGUCCUGCAACGAGCGCAACCCCUGUCACUAGUUGCCAUCAUUCAGUUGGGGACUCUAGUGAGACUGCCUACGCAAGUAGAGAGGAAGGUGGGGAUGACGUCAAAUCAUCACAGCCCUUACGUCUUGGGCCACACACGUAAUACAAUGGCCGGUACAGAGGGCAGCCACACAGCGAUGUGAUGCAAAUCUCGAAAGCCGGUCUCAGUUCGGAUUGGAGUCUGCAACUCGACUCUAUGAAGCUGGAAUCGCUAGUAAUCGCGCAUCAGCCAUGGCGCGGUGAAUACGUUCCCGGGCCU
RNAcentral lists this ribosomal RNA (1345 nucleotides) under uncultured bacterium. RNAcentral describes it as "bacterial SSU rRNA". It matches the Rfam family "Bacterial small subunit ribosomal RNA", at positions 28 to 1381 of the family's 1533-position model. The record is from RNAcentral.